CAUUUGUGCUCAGUUGUAUUAAGUAUUUUCCUUCAAGGUAUAGUGGAGGAUUUUCCCGAAUUUUAGAAAAGAACCGCCCUCUCCACUUUUUGAAAAAA
This is a long non-coding RNA of Sander lucioperca (pikeperch), 98 nucleotides long. RefSeq lists it as uncharacterized. The record is from RefSeq and is a predicted model, not a curated record. Lineage: Eukaryota; Metazoa; Chordata; Actinopteri; Perciformes; Percidae. The transcript is spliced from 2 exons.